AGGGAAACAACCCAGACCGCCAGCUAAGGUCCCAAAGUCAUGGUUAAGUGGGAAACGAUGUGGGAAGGCCCAGACAGCCAGGAUGUUGGCUUAGAAGCAGCCAUCAUUUAAAGAAAGCGUAAUAGCUCACUGGUCGAGUCGGCCUGCGCGGAAGAUGUAACGGGGCUAAACCAUGCACCGAAGCUGCGGCAGCGACACUCAGGUGUUGUUGGGUAGGGGAGCGUUCUGUAAGCCUGUGAAGGUGGCCUGUGAGGGUUGCUGGAGGUAUCAGAAGUGCGAAUGCUGACAUAAGUAACGAUAAAGCGGGUGAAAAGCCCGCUCGCCGGAAGACCAAGGGUUCCUGUCCAACGUUAAUCGGGGCAGGGUGAGUCGACCCCUAAGGCGAGGCCGAAAGGCGUAGUCGAUGGGAAACGGGUUAAUAUUCCCGUACU
This 431-nucleotide ribosomal RNA is filed under the name Salmonella enterica. RNAcentral describes it as "partial 23S ribosomal RNA". It matches the Rfam family "Bacterial large subunit ribosomal RNA", at positions 1016 to 1445 of the family's 2925-position model. Lineage: Bacteria; Pseudomonadati; Pseudomonadota; Gammaproteobacteria; Enterobacterales; Enterobacteriaceae. The record is from RNAcentral. RNAcentral also lists the same sequence under 5 other names.